This 450-nucleotide ribosomal RNA is filed under the name uncultured bacterium. Its description in RNAcentral is "bacterial SSU rRNA". It matches the Rfam family "Bacterial small subunit ribosomal RNA", at positions 28 to 476 of the family's 1533-position model. The record is from RNAcentral.
GAUGAACGCUGGCGGCGUGCUUAACACAUGCAAGUCGAACGAAGCACCUCUGAUUGAUUCUUCGGAUGAAAGAUUUGGUGACUGAGUGGCGGACGGGUGAGUAACGCGUGGGUAACCUGCCUCAUACAGGGGGAUAACAGUUAGAAAUGACUGCUAAUACCGCAUAAGCGCACGGUACCGCAUGGUACAGUGUGAAAAACUCCGGUGGUAUGAGAUGGACCCGCGUCUGAUUAGCUAGUUGGUGAGGUAACGGCUCACCAAGGCGACGAUCAGUAGCCGGCCUGAGAGGGUGAACGGCCACAUUGGGACUGAGACACGGCCCAAAAUCCUACGGGAGGCAGCAGUGGGAAUAUUGCACAAUGGGGGAAACCCUGAUGCAGCGACGCCGCGUGAAGUGAAGAAGUAUUUCGGUAUGUAAAAGCUCUAUCAGCAGGGAAGAAAAAUGACGGU